Pelobates cultripes (western spadefoot toad) is the source of this 711-nucleotide non-coding RNA. Lineage: Eukaryota; Metazoa; Chordata; Amphibia; Anura; Pelobatidae. The record is from the annotation of a GenBank genome assembly.
AGCAGAAACAAAAUCCUUAAUGGCGCAUAACACCAACCCAGCUAUUCCAGUCUACCGCUAAGCGAUAUGUUGGAUAUAUGGUGCGUGGGUGGACACAGGAAGCGUUUGAUAUGUUUGAAAUUAUACUUGUGUGUGUGUGUGUGUAUACUAUAUGUCUGCCUAUAUCUCGGCUUUGCUGGCAGAACCUCUACCUCAUUGGUUAUUUUAUAUCUAGAGUUUACUAGUUGUGAAACAACAACGACAGAGCAUUGCACCCUGAUACAGAACAACGACAGAGCAUUGCACCCUGAUACAGAACAACGACAGAGCAUUGCAUGCUGAUACAGAACAAUGACAGAGCAUUGCACCCUGAUACAGAACAACGACAGAGCAUUGCACCCUGAUACAGAACAACGACAGAGCAGUGCACCCUGAUACAGAACAACGACAGAGCAUUGCACCCUGAUACAGAACAACGACAGAGUAUUGCACCAUGCUACAGAACAACAACAGAGCAUUGCACCAUGCUACAGAACAACAGAGUAUUGCACAAUCAUGGAGCGAAUAUUGCACAUUUACAGAUCAAUAAAAAGUGAAAAUUCCUAUAUCCUCAGAUAACGGUGCCAUAUUACAAUUCUUUAGGCCACAUGGCGGCAGACAGAUCGAGUUAUUGGCUACAUGGCCCAAGAUGGCUGCCUUGUGUUUAUAUUAACGUGUAUUACUCACAGUGCC